UAUCAACUUUCGAUGGUAGUUUCUGC
RNAcentral lists this small RNA (26 nucleotides) under Bombyx mori (domestic silkworm). Its description in RNAcentral is "piRNA piR-bmo-1534882". The record is from RNAcentral. Lineage: Eukaryota; Metazoa; Arthropoda; Insecta; Lepidoptera; Bombycidae.